This 8302-nucleotide long non-coding RNA is filed under the name Homo sapiens (human). RNAcentral describes it as "HSALNT0105978". Lineage: Eukaryota; Metazoa; Chordata; Mammalia; Primates; Hominidae. The record is from RNAcentral.
UUUCUGACAUGUAUCUGAUAUUGAUCCACUUUGGAAAACAGAGAUGUGGGUGGAUUAGGAUUUUAAAUGGGAAAAGGCCAUUUCAGAGCAUGUCGAGGAAGGAUGGGGCUGGGUGGAAUAUCCAGAGCAGAAUGACACGGUGGGAAUGGGUGAGGGGUGCACCCAGCAUCCAAAAAGCAAACUCAGCCAGCUGAGUCCAAGAAGUAGGUAAGGGCAGGGAACAAAAGAAAGAUCAGAAAGAAACUCUGAAGAAAUAUUUUAUAUCUUGAAAUGUAGCCUAGUGGAGGCUUUGGAAACAAAUGUGAGGCAGAUGUUCCGCCUAAAGCAAUCUAGCACUUCUAGCUGCAGUUAGUUGGUGAUGCUGUUCCAUCUCCAGGAUGCUUUAUCAGGAGGGAUCAGAAAGCUGGCUGUUGGAUGUCUGCCCGUCCCACUCCUGCCCUUACCCUAUUAUGAAGGGAACAGUAUUCUCUCUGUGGUCCCCAGAGCUUGUUCACCAUGCAAGCACUGUGGGAAGUUGCCUCAAAUUCCACUAUCUCUUCAUCACCCCUCUCCCUCUUCCCUAUGAAAAUGGGACAGUUCUAACUCCUUCUCCAUUUCAGCAGAGAAAACAUUUUUCUCAGCCAGUCUUGGUAGCACAAAGGCAGUCACUAGACUAAAUUUAUCAUUUAUUACCCCCAACUUCAGCCAUCACCAUCCAUUUUAUUUUUUUUAGUAAAGGCAGCUUAAUGGGUUUAGACAGAUGAUAAUUCAUCAGAAAAUCAAAGAACUGGAAGGGCCCUAAAAGAAUAUCUAGUUGCACCCACUCACUUGACAGAUAAUGAAGCCAAGACUCAGAGAAGGGCAUGACUCCCCCAAGGUCAACAGCAAGUUGAGGGUGGAGCUACAUCAAGAGCCCAAGACUGCUGGCUACCAGCUCUCUUCCCCCAGCCCCUCUGUAUUAGUUUGUUUUCACACUGCUGAUAAAGACAUACCUGAGACUGGGCAAUUUACAAAAGAAAGAGGUUUAACUGGACUUACAGUUCCACGUGGCUGGGGAAGCCUCACAAUCAUGGUGGAAGGCAAGGUGGAGCAAGUCACAUCUUAUGUGGAUGGUGGCACAGGAAAAGAGAGAGAGCUUGUGCAGGGGAACUCCUCUUUUUAAAACCAUCAGAUCUCAUGAGACUUAUUCACUAUCAGGAAAGACCUGUCACCAUGAUUCAAUUACCUCCCACUGGGUCCCUCCCACCACAUGGGGGAAUUCAAGAUGAGAUUUGGGUGGGGAGAAGGCCAAACCAUAUCACCCUCAAUCACUGACUUUUGUUGUAGGGUGGUGAGCCCUAUCUAGGACUGGAUUGGAGUGUCUACCUGUGAUCUGUGAUUUAUGGGGAUCCUGAAGGGUCCUGUCUCCCCAGCUGCUGCUAUGUGGGUAUAAGACACCAUGCUAGACUCUGUGAGGAAACCCCUUGGUGGCCUAUGUCCUUAAGCAUCAGAGGAUGCUUUGGGCUGCAAGUAACAGAGACCUUCACCUUAGCUGGCUUCAACCAGGAAGGUUAAUGAUCUGGCACCACAGGGCGCCCAGAGUAGGGGGACUGCCAAAGUUGGUACACUUAGUGGCUCAAUCUGUUAUCCCAGGCUGUCUGUGUCUUUUUGAUUCACAUCAUCAGCAUGUUGGUGAGCUCCCCUCCUAAUCAUAAGACAACUGCUGCAGUUCAAGGGCUCACUUCAAGACAUAAAGUCACACCACAGAAGAUGAGCCAUUUCCUCCCGGUUGUCCUUUUUGUUAGUGAAGAACAUUUUCUCCAAAGCCUCCCAGAAGAAUUCUUUCCUCUCAUUGGUCAAGAUUCGGCCACAUGUCACUUUCUUCACCAAUGACGGGCAAGGGAAAUGGGGUUACCAGAAUUGACUUAAAUUGAGAUUUACCCUAGAGUCUUGGGGAGAGGUGGACACUCAAACAAACUCAGGGUUCUGCCAGCAAGAAGAAGGGAAUGGCAGGGGGCAGGCACUCAACAGUACCUGCCACAUAUCAUCACCAUCUGAGAAGAAGUGUAGUGUUCAGAGCAGACUCUGGAGCUAGUCUGGCUAAGUUCAAAUUCUUGCUCUGCUGCUUUCUAGCUGCAUGACCUAAGAAAAUUAUUUUGUCUCUCUGUGAAUCAAAUUAUUUGAAGAAUAUAAUAUAAUCUACCUCUUGGUGCUAUAAAAACUAUGUAAGGUAAUAUAUGUAAACCGUGCAAAUAUAUGUAAUAUGUAAGAGGCCAGCCCACAUAAAUAUUAUAUAGGGGUAGCUGUUGCUAGCUGCUUCCUGACUCCCUUCCCAUCCUACAUGAACACACACUCAUGUUCACAACCCAUAUGCCCAACAUCACUGCUACAGGAGCCUCAUCAUUAUUCCAGAACUGACCUGCAUUUUUCAAAUCUUGAGACUUCACAUAUGCUGGCCUUCCACUUGUAAAGAUAAACUUCCCACCAUCUUCCCCAUUGACAUUUAAGAGCCAGCUCAACACCACCUCCUCCAUAAACUUUUCCUGAUCCCUUCUAGUUGGCAUCAAUCUCUUUCCACUCCACCCUCAAACUCCCCGAACCCUCAGUGUCUCCACUUGGGCUCCUGUGCAUCCUGCCUUGCUGUGUGGUUCUGAGUGAGUGUGUUGGUCUCCUAGGCUGGGAUCCCCUUUAGGGCAGGAGGUUAAAGACUAGGUCAAGAGUCUCUUUAGGAAAUAACUCAGUACCCUGCAUACAACAUCAUCUUAGUAAAAGUUUAUCAAAUCACAUAGAAUUGAAUAAAAAUAUACAGUCUCCGCCUUCAAGGAGUCUAGUUGAGGAACAGGACAGAUACAUGUAAGACAAUUGGCCAUGUAAGCAUUAGAACAUCAGCACCCCCUACAGACCUGGUUCUCCAGCCACACCAAGCUUCCUGCCAUUCCCUUACACCUGCUUGCCUUUGCACAUGCUGUUCCUUCUUCCUCCAAGUUCCCUCUUUGCUCCCAGAAUCUUUUUAUAGCUGACACAGUCCUACUCACCCUUUCAGCCUCUACUCCAUCAUUGCCUCCUCUGUGAAGCCCCUUGUAGUGAUGCUGCUGCCCACUGUGAUUCUUCUCUGUUUAUUAUACCACUCACAUACUCCACUUCUGCCUCCUCCAGCCUGGGUGCUCCUGGAGAGUUAGGACUAGGUCUUUCCAUCUCAGCAUCCCCCAGCCCAGUGCAGAGCUUGGCAUGUAGCAGAUGCUCCAUGCCAACAUACCAUGUUGGUGGAGUGAAUAAGCAGAUGAGAUUGCAGGCAGCCUGUGAGCACUCCUGGGGAUUUAUAUUAGCUCUCUUUUGUCCCUUUCUCAGAACAGAAUCCCUGGGACCCUGGUAACAAUUUAACAACAGGCUGUGUCUUCAGGAGGAAAGCCAGUCGGGAAAGCCGAAGAGUGGGAGCCACACUGGUUGAAGAUGCCGGGCAUCCCAGCCUAGGAGAUAAAAAUAUAAUUAGUGUAAUCCUGAGAGCAGUGUGACAACACCUGCCUGGUACUUGCCUCUGGAAGGAAAGCUGCAGAGAGAAUAGGCACAGCAGAGUGGGGGUUAUACUCCUCUAUGUCAAGUGGCCAGACUGGAAUGCAAAGAACACAGCAUUCUUCUAAGAAGGGUCCACCAACAGGCACGGCCAUGCAAGCACUGCAUAUCCCCCAGGAUUCUGGCAUGUGUUCCCAAGAACAAUGUCUGCAGUGCACUCUUGCAUUUGUCGCUGUUGGCUUUCCAUUGUAAUACAGUGCCAUACCUUACAGUUUCCUGAGCCCUUUCCCGUGUUACUUCAACUAAGCCUUAUAUCAGCUCUGCAGGGACGAUCCUGCCUAUAUUCCAGAUGGGGAAACCUACUCUCAGAGAGAUCAAAGGCCUUACCCGAUCGCACACUGCUAGUAAGAGUGGGGGCUCUGGAUCCAAGCCCAGCGCUUGCAUGAUCUGGUUUGGCUGGAAGGAAAUUUGACAACGGGAGAUUUCUUUCCGUUUUCAGAUCUAACGACAAGCUCUCUGGCCCAUCAGGGUCUCCUCUGUGGUGUCUCCACCAGCCUCUGUUGGCCUUCACCACUUCUGUCUGAACUACCAAGUGCUCCAGCCCUUCCUGAGCCAAAAGGUUGUCUUCUGUUUAGAAGCAUUUUGAUUUAGAAGGUGCCUUGGACUCAAACCAUGGUCUUGUGAGCCACCAGGACUUAUUCUUCUGUGUUUCUGUGUGUGUGUAUGUGUGUGCAUGCGUGCACACGCAUGCAUGUGUAGGGGCACGUAGAGGUGUUAAGGAUGUUGUAGCAUGUAUGAGGGGGUAUGUGGAGAUGUUGGGCAUGUUGCAGUAUGUAUGCUGUAGUGGGGGUAUGCAGGUGUGCAGUGGCCUCUUUGCCCUAAAAGAAGCCAGGGGCUCCUGAGUCCCCCCGAUGCAGGUGGAACAGUCCUGCUUUCCAAGGUUUUCUACCUGGGGAUGAUUCCCUGAACUCCCUGAGAUAGCCAUGUGAGUUGGGCUCAAAAGGUGCUCCUGGGAUGGGUACUUUAGACCCCUGCUACUCAAAAUCUUGCUCCAGGAGCAGAAGCAUAGAUACUACUGGAAGGUUUGUUAGAAAAGCAGUCUCAUACCCUAGCCUGGAACUACUAAAUCUGUCUGCAUUUUAACCAGAUCCCCAGGUGAUCCGAUGCAUUGGAAAGUGUGAGAAGGCCUGGGCGGGGAUAGGAGGAUGAACCUGCAACAGGAAGGAUAUUGGCUCAGCAUAGGGAGGAAUUCUUGCCCACUGAGUGUGUGAGGUAAUGGGCUGGGUGACUAAGAGAGGCAGGAGGGAAGGUCAAAGGAGACAUUUUUCAGUAAAGGCUGGGAUUGGCCAGUGACUUAGGAGGGGACAGAGCUGGUUGUCCCAGACCCUGAUCCAGCCCAGCGUCUCCACUUCAUUGUGUUGGGUGGGCUGGAAACUGGGCCCCCAGCAGGCCACAGCCUUGUGAUUCUCCACCAGUGAGACACCACUGGCGUUGUGUGGCUUUGUAUCAGGAUGAUACUGGCCUCACAGGAUGAGUUAGGAAUUGUUUCUCCUCUAUGUUUUUGGAAGAAUUUGAAAAGGAUUGGUGUUCAUUCUUCAAAUGUUUGCUAGAAUUCAUCAAUGAAGCUGUCUGGUCAUGCACUUUUGUUUGUUGGAAGGUUUUUUAUUACUAAUUUAGUCUCUUUAUUUGUAUAGAUCUGUUCAGAUUUUCUAUUUAAUCUCUAGCCAGUUUUAGUAAUUUGUGACUUUCUAGGAAUUUGUCUGCUGUAAGCAUUAUGGCCUGGGAACCAAGCUUGCCUUCCCUAAGCAGAUCAUUAUGGGUGGGUAGUUCCUAGGGUUCCUGCUGCCAGGUUGGGCAGUUCUCAGGAGUUCACCUGUGCCUGGUCCUGUCCUCAGAUCCCUGAGUCUGGUCUCUUCAUUUGACCCAAGUGCAACUGUGCUAACAAACCUGCUCUGGCCACAAGAGUUUCCUGCCUAGAUCCACACCGCUGUUAUCUUGCUGGUGGACUAGAGCCAGCUUGCAGGUGAGGUAGAAACCUCAGCAAAGUCAACUGCAAUCUCUCAAGUCCUGCUCUGCACCCUGGAUCCUGAAUCCUGCCCUUGAAUGUGGACUGAACAUUUCUGAUCAUUCUGUAAGUGAUCAAAUAAGAACUUUCCCAGGUGUUCAAAAACUGAGGAUAUUUUCAGUAGACUCCUCAUGACUCAAGUUGUCAUAGUAAAAGCUUUUUUGGUUAAGAUUAAAAGAAAUCCACUAUAUUAGGCAGGAGACUCAGCUUGAGGACAAAUAAACCUUGAAAUCUCAGUGGCCAAAUGCAAAAAGCUUGAUUUCUCUCUCACGUGAAGCCCCAGAAGGGUGGCACAGUCCUCCUCAGCAGCUCUCCCUCCACUGAGAUUGGGGAUCUGGGUUGUGCAUUCCUGAGUUCCUCACUCACAGCCACAGGAUGAGGGGGGAGUGCGUGAAGCACAGUCACUGGGUGUUAGCUGCCUGGGACUGGAAGUGACACAUCCCAUCUUCUCAUGUCAUUGGGGAGUAUUCAGUUAGCUGGGCUCACUCUAAUGACAAAGUGCGAUCUUCCUGGAAGUUAAGCUUCCAGACCACUUUAGACAAAAUAGAAUCAGGAAGUUACAGGGAGGUCCACAUGAGAGUCAGGGCAAGAAAUCCAGGCAGCCUCCCAGGACCAGGAAUAGGCACUGGGGAGAAUUCAGAUUCAAGGAAGUUCCUCUUGGGCAUCACAGGUCACUCUUCUCUACUUUGGGUGACCAGCUGAUUCUGGGUUGCCUGAGAUGUUCUGAUUUUAGCGCUGAAAGUCUUGCGUCUUGAGCAAGCUAAAAUAGUUGGUUGUUCUAUCAUCACUUCUCUUUACCUAUUGGCUUCAGUUUUGUUGUUUUUUUUUUUUUCUCCCUCCUGGCUGAAUUCCUUUAUCUCUAUGCAUGUGGCAUAAAGUCUCUAUCCCAGCCUGGGAAGCUGCCAACCUCAGUACCUCCAACCACCUAACUAAUGCACUUCCUCAAUACUAGCUCCAAAUUUUCAGGAAGGACAAAUUGAUUAUUCUGUCUCAGGUCUCACACCCACCCAAGUAGAAUAAUCAUGGCCACCUGGGCCUAUCCCUUUAAGUGAAGAGGAAGAAGCAGAAAAAGCAGAGAGGGUCAACAGACACCCCAAGUUCAUGUUAUUGCAUGGCCUAUCAAGAACUUUCCAUUUUAACUACACAGAAGACAAAAAUAGAAGAGGACUAUAUUUACCCCGCCAAAGGACAGUGAACCUGGGAUAAGAGCUGAGCUCCAGCCCCUCCCCUGAAGCCCCCCACACACAGAAUUCAUACAUAUUGUCAGCUACGGUGGUAGGCAGAAAUGUAAGAUGUCCCCCCACGUUCCCAGCCCUGUGUUCACCCCCCUCUCCUUGAGUGUUGACAGGACCUGGGAAUAUGCUGGGAUGGUCCCUCUAGUGAUUAGAUUACAUUAUAUGGCAAAAGUGGUCACAUACUCACUUUCACAAUUAUUGUAUAAGACACUCAUUGCCAACUAGAGAGAGAUUCUCCUGCCGGCCUUGAAGGAGCAAGCUGCCAUAUCGUGAGAGGCCCACUGGCCAGGACCUGGGGUCAGCCUCCAGGAGCUGAGAGUGGCCUACAACUAACAGCCAAGAGGAAAAUGGGACUCUCAGUUGUAAGAACACCAGGAACUGAAUUAUGCCAACAACAUGAAAAGGCUUGGCAGAGGACCUGAGUCUCAGAUGGGAUUGCAGCCCCAACUGACAUCUUGAUUUCAGCCCAAUGAAACCCUAAACUGAAAAUGGAGCUAUGCCGUUCUUGGACUUCUGACUUACAGAAGCUUUGAGAUAAUAAGUUCAUGUUGGUUUUAGCCACUAAAUUUGUGAUAAUGUGUUACAUGUGCAUAGAAAACUAAUACAUCUAACAGGAAAAAAUCAUAGGGGCAUUAGGCAAGCCCAGGAAAGUAAGUUUCAAAUGUUCAAUCUUAAAUCCAGUGUCCACAUGCACAAAAUAUUAAAUCAGCUUUACUCCAGAGUCCAGCUUUCCUGGGCCACCCACAUUUCUCACCACCCAAUCCUCGCCGUUUGGGGCUGCGGCAAGGAGAGCUGUCCCCCUCCAUGGGGGCUGGCCUGUGUCAUCAAAAAGGAAGCAGCAGCCAUCCCCCAAGGAAAAGGAAGAGUGUAACACUGGUUUCCCUUUAAACAUUUGGACGUAUGAAAAGGAUUAAUAACAACUCAUUUGACAAGGGUGACAGACAUCCAGCACUCCCAUACAUAGUUAAUGUGAGGAUAAAUUAGUUUAGCUUUUCAGAGUACAGUUUAGCAAGAUAUAUUAAAUUGUAAACUACACAUAUCCUUUAAUCUAGCAAUUUCUCUUUUAAGAAUUUACGCUCCAGAAAUAUUAACACAGAAACAAAUCAUAAUGCUCAAAGAUGUUCACUGCAACAUUGAUUGCCGUAAAAAAAAAAAAAAAAGGCGGUAACCUACAUGCCUGUCAAUAAGUGAUUGGCUAAAUAAACUGUGGUACACUCAUACUGGAAUACUAUUCAACCACUGAAAAAAAAUAAGGUUUAUUUCUAUGCGGUGACAUGUCUAUGCUGUAUCUGUGAUAUACUGUUAAGGGGGAAAAGCAAGUUGCAGAGCACGAUGUACUGUAUAUCAUUUUUGUUAAAAGUAAUUACAUAUUUAUAUGUUAAAAUAUGCCUAGUAAAGAUGGAAAAAUAUAAACUACAUUUUUAGAAACAUUUCUUGAAUUAUGGGGAACUUUCUGUUUUACAUAUACUUCUAGAUUAUAUGAUAAGGACUUUAUUAUACAUUUCUGUAUCGUUAAAAAUAUUUACUACGUGCA